RNAcentral lists this ribosomal RNA (119 nucleotides) under Pteropus alecto (black flying fox). Lineage: Eukaryota; Metazoa; Chordata; Mammalia; Chiroptera; Pteropodidae. The record is from RNAcentral.
GUCUACAGCCAUGCCAGCCUGAACAAGCCCGAUCCCGUCUGAUCUCAGAAGCUAAGCAUAGUUGGGCCUGGUUAGUAUUUGGAUGGGAGAUCACCUAGGAAGAACAGGUGCUGUAGGCG